Molecule: long non-coding RNA, 594 nt
Filed under: Ananas comosus (pineapple)
Lineage: Eukaryota; Viridiplantae; Streptophyta; Magnoliopsida; Poales; Bromeliaceae
Description: long non-coding RNA (ACOM_LNC009334)
Source: RNAcentral
AAUUUCACACUUUCUCACUUUAAAUACCCUCUGAUUUAAAGUGCAUCAAGUUAGCCCUGUGGUUUUGCACUUUCUCACUUUAGUACUCUGUGGUUUAAAGUGUAUCAAAUUAGUACCCUGUGGUUUUAUUUUUCUCUUUUUAUUAUCUAUUUCACUAAUUUUUUUCUUAAAUCAGUGACAAAAUUAAAAUUAAGGAGUACUAAAGUGAAUAUUCGAUAAACCUAGGUAGGGUAUCUGAAGUUUUUUUUGUAUAUAAUUUAACGAAAUAUUAACAGAGAAAAAAAAAUCAGUGAUAAAGUUAAAACUAAAGGGUACUAAAGUAAAAUAUUCGAUAAACCUAGAUAGAGUAUCUGAAAUUUUUUGUAUAUAAUUUAACAAAAUAUUAACAGAGGAGCCGACAAAAAGAAAAAAAUGAAACCACAGGGUACUAAAUUGAUACACUUUAAACCACAUGAUAAUAAAGUGAGAAAGUGCGAAAUUAUAGAGUACUAAAUUGAUAGACUUUAAACUAUAUGGUACUAAAGUGAAAAAGUGCAAAAUCAUAUGAGUGGUAUUUAAAGUUUUCUCUAUUAUUUAAUAAGAAAAUAAAAAUUU